CCUACGGGAGGCAGCAGUGGGGAAUUUUGGACAAUGGGCGCAAGCCUGAUCCAGCAAUGCCGCGUGAGUGAAGAAGGCCUUCGGGUUGUAAAGCUCUUUUGUCAGGGAAGAAACGGUCUACUCUAAUACAGUGGGCUAAUGACGGUACCUGAAGAAUAAGCACCGGCUAACUACGUGCCAGCAGCCGCGGUAAUACGUAGGGUGCAAGCGUUAAUCGGAAUUACUGGGCGUAAAGCGUGCGCAGGCGGUUAUAUAAGUCAGAUGUGAAAUCCCCGGGCUCAACCUGGGAACUGCAUUUGAGACUGUAUGGCUAGAGUGUGUCAGAGGGGGGUAGAAUUCCACGUGUAGCAGUGAAAUGCGUAGAUAUGUGGAGGAAUACCGAUGGCGAAGGCAGCCCCCUGGGAUAACACUGACGCUCAUGCACGAAAGCGUGGGGAGCAAAGCGAGUAGUAGUACCUACGUAGGUACGUACCGCCCGUAACCGAACGUAGUCGUACCUAACGUUAGUUCGGGUACCGGUUAAACUUUUAGUUUCGUUACGGUUAACGGGUACCGACGACGUACGUACCGGUACGGUAGGUAAGGUAACGGACCGGUCCGGGUAACGGGGUACGGGUUACGGGUUCGGACGUAAGUUAAACGUUAAACGUUAACGAAAGUUAGUUAGGACGGCGAGAGAGCGACGGACGGACGACGACGGAGGAGGAGG
RNAcentral lists this ribosomal RNA (709 nucleotides) under uncultured bacterium. RNAcentral describes it as "bacterial SSU rRNA". The stretch from base 1 to 476 matches the Rfam family "Bacterial small subunit ribosomal RNA", at positions 338 to 873 of the family's 1533-position model. The record is from RNAcentral.